CACAUCGAAGAGGUCGCAACUGACAUCAAUAAAAAUAACUAGUCUGCUGUUAAGACGAUGAAGUUAUUUUGAAAGGGGAAGUUGCCGAAGUGGGCACUUAAACAGCUAAGUGUUGGCUGGGACAUGAUUGAACAAGUCAUGGACUGUCGCAAUAAUUGCGGAGAGCUAUCGACAAA
Molecule: non-coding RNA, 176 nt
Filed under: Holzapfeliella floricola
Lineage: Bacteria; Bacillati; Bacillota; Bacilli; Lactobacillales; Lactobacillaceae
Also listed under: 1 other name
Description: Lactobacillus floricola Lysine sequence
Rfam family: Lysine riboswitch aptamer
About the family: Riboswitches are metabolite binding domains within certain messenger RNAs that serve as precision sensors for their corresponding targets. Allosteric rearrangement of mRNA structure is mediated by ligand binding, and this results in modulation of gene expression.
Source: RNAcentral